This 863-nucleotide long non-coding RNA is filed under the name Helianthus annuus (common sunflower). RNAcentral describes it as "sRNA HanXRQr2_Chr05g0234461". The record is from RNAcentral. Lineage: Eukaryota; Viridiplantae; Streptophyta; Magnoliopsida; Asterales; Asteraceae.
UUGAAUCACCGUUUAAUUAAAAUUUCGAUUUCACAAUUCCUCCAAAAAUAAGAUCCACAGGUAAACCUUUUUUUCCAGAUUCAAUUUCAUUGACCUUCAUCUUCUUUUUGAAUCUGAUCAUCUUGUUCAUCAAAGUUCAAGUCAUCUUCUUUUGUAUUUCAUCAUCUAAUCACAGAUAUCCAAGAGACAAUACAAGAGACAAUACGUAGUCCAGAAAUCAAUAACGUGUUCUUUACAACGAUUAAUCGUCCUGUUCUUUAUUCUUUUGAUUUCUUCCUUGUUAUUUCGAUUCACAUAACCACAUGAUUCACAUCAGAUGUUCGUCAAUAUCGGUGAUUUUAUUCCCAGGAAUCCAAGCAAAGUCGGUACCUAGUAACGUAUACGAGACACCUAAUGGCAGUAGGUAUUGAACGCCAGUUGUUCCGCCCGGUUGCAAACCCGUUCUAAAGGUGAGAUUUAGUUCAAUGGAAGCCGUUAUUGCAAUGUAUGAGAGUUACGCACAACUAGCAGGGUUUUGUACAGUUGCUGGAAAGCACAGAAAGGGCUGCAACUGUAAAAAGUCAAUGUGCUAGAAAAAGUACUGCCAGUGUUAUCAGGGUUGUUCACAUUGCGGUGUAAUGGUUCAAUUCGUUUCAGAUCCUCGCAACUUAGAGGUGUCUGUUUUGACCCGUAUACUUAUACAACGUGUCAAGUUAUGUAUUAUAUCUAACGGGUCAAACAAGAAAAAAUAAAACUAUUAUGUUUUGCAUUGUACAGAUUAAUGUUUGUUUGGUUUUUUCAUUAUGUAACAUACAGGGGUUUUUACUCUGUUUUUAGGCGAUGGUAUGAAUUUUUCUUGGUUGAUUUGUUGUAGACAUUUGUAC